This is a ribosomal RNA of 155 nucleotides. It matches the Rfam family "5.8S ribosomal RNA". From Rfam's summary of the family: 5.8S ribosomal RNA (5.8S rRNA) is a component of the large subunit of the eukaryotic ribosome.
AACUUUCAGCAACGGAUCUCUUGGCUCUCGCAUCGAUGAAGAACGCAGCGAAAUGCGAUAAGUAAUGUGAAUUGCAGAAUUCAGUGAAUCAUCGAAUCUUUGAACGCACCUUGCGCUCCUUGGUAUUCCGAGGAGCAUGCCUGUUUGAGUGUCCA